RNAcentral lists this ribosomal RNA (484 nucleotides) under uncultured bacterium. Its description in RNAcentral is "partial 16S ribosomal RNA". It matches the Rfam family "Bacterial small subunit ribosomal RNA", at positions 29 to 507 of the family's 1533-position model. The record is from RNAcentral.
AGUGAACGCUGGCGGCAGGCCUAACACAUGCAAGUCGAGCGGCAGCGCGGGGGCAACCCUGGCGGCGAGCGGCGGACGGGUGAGGAAUUCGUCGGAAUCUGCCUUUUUGUGGGGGAUAACGUAGGGAAACUUACGCUAAUACCGCAUACGUCCUACGGGAGAAAGUGGGGGACCGCAAGGCCUCACGCAGAAAGAUGAGCCGACGACCGAUUAGCUAGUUGGUGGGGUAAAGGCCCACCAAGGCGACGAUCGGUAGCUGGUGUGAGAGGAUGAUCAGCCACACUGGGACUGAGACACGGCCCAGACUCCUACGGGAGGCAGCAGUGGGGAAUAUUGGACAAUGGGCGCAAGCCUGAUCCAGCCAUGCCGCGUGUGUGAAGAAGGCCUUCGGGUUGUAAAGCACUUUUGUCCGGAAAGAAAUCCCUGGAGCUAAUACCUUCGGGGGAUGACGGUACCGGAAGAAUAAGCACCGGCUAACUUCGUG